RNAcentral lists this unclassified non-coding RNA (273 nucleotides) under uncultured fungus. RNAcentral describes it as "sequence contains ITS1". Lineage: Eukaryota; Fungi. The record is from RNAcentral.
GUAUUAGUUUUAUAGGUCAGAGACCCACAAAGGACAUUCUAAGACUUGUUUAUGGGGGAUAUAACAUAGACCACGACAUUGAAGGAUAGCUAAGGCGCAAAUCCCUCGAUCCAACAAGUCAACCCGUGAAGGUCGACCGUUGAGAGUCGUCGUAGUCUACAAAGGUUCACAGGUGGUAAAGAUGAAUUUGAAGUCGCGUUCACAUACUCCGAAGAGUCAGAUCGACAACCUCGUUAUUCAGUAAUGAUCCUUCCGCAGGUUCACCUACGGAAA